Molecule: long non-coding RNA, 2582 nt
Filed under: Homo sapiens (human)
Lineage: Eukaryota; Metazoa; Chordata; Mammalia; Primates; Hominidae
Description: HSALNT0018363
Source: RNAcentral
AACAGGGAGGGACAGUUUGACUUCCUCUUUACCAACUUGGAUGCCCUUUAUUUCUUUCUCUUCUCUGAUUGCUCUGACUAGGGCUUCUAGUACUAUGUUGAGGAGGAGUGGUGAGAGUGGGUAUCCUUUUCUCGUUCCAGUUCUCAGAGGGAAUGCCUUCAACUUUUCCCCAUUCAGUAUUAUGUUGGCUGUGUGGUUUGUCAUAGAUGGCUUUUAUUUCAUUGAGAUCCUUUGGCAGCCCUUCUCAAGGACCUCUGUGAGACAAAAUCAGAAAUGGCUUCCCUGGGGACCAAGAGAGCCCACAAGCCUCUUCCUGCUGCUUCUUCUACCCCUGUAUUUUGUUUGACUCUCUAAAUUUGUCUCAGCUCCAGGUCUGGAAGAAAAUUUUGGGAAUCUAUUAAUCCUCUGAGGCCUUCAAAGCCACUACCCUAGACUGGCUUCCUCUCUGCGCUCACCUGUCUGUUGGGCGUCUGUGACCUGCCCUCACUGGGUGACCUGGAUUGACGGCGCUCUGGGGACUCCCAGUCAGCCUGGGUCCCUCGCUCUUCUGAAUUGCAGCGGGAGACAUCAGGAGAGAGAAGAUGCUUUCGCUCUUUUGAUCGUCCCCGCUCCCUGCCCCCUGAGCGUCCUUGGAGAGUAAGUGCAUCAGGGCAGGAGCCCACUGCCUGAUGAAAGAGCUGGACACUGAAGACCUCCUCACCUGAAUCAGAGUUCAGGCGGUGGGCUGACAGCCGCAAGGAGGAGUGGUAACUCCGGCGACGGGACUUGUAGGUAUUUUCACUGCUUCGCUCCAUGGAGAAUUCCUCCAACCACGAGGAAUUUGAACGCUUAUCCCGAAUAGUGGAAAAUGAACGUCUCAUGGAGCUAGGGUCUGUCACCACCUGGAAAUACAAGCCCCCAGAGAAACACAAGGUAUGGAUUAACGAUUGAAAAGAUCUAAAAGGACAGAAGCAGCAAGACUGAGACGUUAAGGAAGGCAAAUUGUAACCCCUGGAAAUGGUAACUUCCCUUGAAUCUCUCUUGCUCAAACCUUAGCUGGUGGAAACUGUUCAAGAAAGCAUCCUUACAUUAUGUUAAUAUAGUCACUGGAAAUGGUCCAGGAUCUUUUCUUCUGUAGCUGAGUGUACCAAGGCAAAGCCAUGCGGAAUGCAGGCAGGAACUGUGCAAGCUCCCAUAGAGCCCUCUACCAUGGGGCGCAGCCAGGCUGCAGCAAAUACUGUGCUGCUUUGAAACAUGUGAGGGCAAUUGUCUAAGAGGCCACCCCAUUCAUGAAAGAAGCAUGGCUUUGCUUUUUUUUUUUUAAACGCCCUUGCCAGAGAAGGCCCUGCCCUGCAGCACUAGAGCCUAGGAGAGCUUGCAAUUUAACAAGUGCUAAGAAUGUAUCACUCUCCCUCUGCUGCCAUCAAUCCCACCUAGCCCCGUUUUAAAUUCUGGCAUUUUGAUUUGCCACAGAUAUUAAAACAAAUCUACAAAAACUUCUUGUCUCUGUCAAAACCUGAUGUAAGACCGACAGACAGGAAAAAGAAGCCAGGAAAACAGACAAAGAAAUGAGAUGUGGCCUGCACUGGUUAGGACAGACAGUCCUGACACAGACCUGUGUGUGUAAGUAACUGCAUAUGUGCUGGAGGAGUCAGGAAACAAAAAAAGGAUGGAGAAGUACACAGAGAAAAUCCUGGAAAAUAUUUCUUGCAUGGCUGGUUGAAUCUUGAGAAUGUUUAACCCGUCCGGAGUGAAGUAUGCAAUUUUGUUCGCUGGGCUGUUGUGGUUAGGGGGGGUCAUUGAAAACACCGGAGAAGCAGGCUCUAUUAGAGACGACCCAUGAGCCAGGUUUUAUUUAUAGGGAAGGGGUGCGGGCAAGUCAACGGCUCACCUGCAAAUAUCAGAUAUUAUUCCAUAACCCAGCUAAUACAGCCCGGAUGCCACUGCAUUAAUGUAGGUGGUUGCUUUUUACCUGGGGAUCCACAGUCAGACGUGGCAUAGAAGAUGCCCUCCCAGAUCCCGCAUGCUCCUGGGUGUCCGAAGGAAGGUAGAUGCCAUGGUUAGAGGGCUGCACGCUUUUUAAUUCACUAACCUCUGGCUCCUGGAAAUAAACACACAGCCAAGCUUGUGGGACUUGGUUCCAUCUCAUUGCUUCUCACGUCCAGUGGACAAUUCAGCCUCCUCAAGAAUGGCUUUCAAAAGAGAGACUUGCAGCUUUAAGGUCUCAGUUGUAUGUAUAUGUGUGUGUGUGUUUAUGUGCACCUAUGUGCUAUAUGUUCCGGACAGGAAGCUCUAGCUGGGAUUGAGUGCUGAAGGUCACCUAUUUUUCUGGUGUAGAUUCCUCUUUUUCAUCACUAAGCAAUGAUUCAGAUUUUAUUGUUUUCUGCAACAAACACUGUUUGGUAUAAUACUUUUCAGAUAUGUGAAGUUCGCUUUCUAAGAAGUGAUAGCAUUGGAUUUAUUCUUUUAAUCUGAAGAAGCCUUUUAUCAAUUAAAUAGAAACCAGUUUUCUAAGGGAAGUCAACAAUUUCUGAUGUCAAAUACGUCUUCUCAAGCCUUAAGACACGUGACGUUAAGAGUUUUCUUCUGAUUGAAACCAUCCA